CGGCAUCGCUAGGGGUCCUGCGCCUGGCGUUCGGCGCAGAUGGCUAGCAAAGUGUAGGCCAUGGCGGCGGAUGACGGAGCGCGGGUGAGAAAUACCCUUGGAACCUGACCCGGAUAAUACCGGCGUAGGGAAGCGUCACCUGCCCGCC
RNAcentral lists this non-coding RNA (148 nucleotides) under Chromobacterium violaceum. RNAcentral's name for it is "TPP sequence". It matches the Rfam family "TPP riboswitch aptamer (THI element)". Rfam says of the family: Vitamin B(1) in its active form thiamin pyrophosphate (TPP) is an essential coenzyme that is synthesised by coupling of pyrimidine and thiazole moieties in bacteria. The previously detected thiamin-regulatory element, thi box was extended, resulting in a new, highly conserved RNA secondary structure, the THI element, which is widely distributed in eubacteria and also occurs in some archaea. Lineage: Bacteria; Pseudomonadati; Pseudomonadota; Betaproteobacteria; Neisseriales; Chromobacteriaceae. The record is from RNAcentral. RNAcentral also lists the same sequence under 1 other name.